This 800-nucleotide ribosomal RNA is filed under the name uncultured bacterium. RNAcentral describes it as "bacterial SSU rRNA". It matches the Rfam family "Bacterial small subunit ribosomal RNA", at positions 8 to 811 of the family's 1533-position model. The record is from RNAcentral.
AGAGUUUGAUCCUGGCUCAGGAUGAACGCUAGCGGCAGGCUUAACACAUGCAAGUCGAGGGGUAUAGUAGCAAUACUAGAGACCGGCGCACGGGUGCGUAACGCGUAUGCAAUCUACCUUUUACAGAGGGAUAGCCCAGAGAAAUUUGGAUUAAUACCUCAUAGUAUAACGACUCCGCAUGGAGAUGUUAUUAAAGUCACAACGGUAAAAGGUGAGCAUGCGUCCCAUUAGCUUGUUGGUAAGGUAACGGCUUACCAAGGCAACGAUGGGUAGGGGUCCUGAGAGGGAGAUCCCCCACACUGGUACUGAGACACGGACCAGACUCCUACGGGAGGCAGCAGUGAGGAAUAUUGGUCAAUGGGCGCAAGCCUGAACCAGCCAUGCCGCGUGCAGGAUGACGGUCCUAUGGAUUGUAAACUGCUUUUGUACAGGAAGAAACAGUUCUACGUGUAGAACCUUGACGGUACUGUAAGAAUAAGGAUCGGCUAACUCCGUGCCAGCAGCCGCGGUAAUACGGAGGAUCCAAGCGUUAUCCGGAAUCAUUGGGUUUAAAGGGUCCGUAGGCGGUCUUAUAAGUCAGUGGUGAAAGCCCAUCGCUCAACGAUGGAACGGCCAUUGAUACUGUAAGACUUGAAUUAUUUGGAAGUAACUAGAAUAUGUAGUGUAGCGGUGAAAUGCUUAGAGAUUACAUGGAAUACCAAUUGCGAAGGCAGGUUACUACAAAUGGAUUGACGCUGAUGGACGAAAGCGUGGGUAGCGAACAGGAUUAGAUACCCUGGUAGUCCACGCCGUAAACGAUG